GCGGAAGAGGAGGAGAAGGAGGUGCUCCGGUUGCCGGCGAACGCAAGGAGGAGCGGCGGCGGGACGGCGACGCAGCUGGACUCCUCAACCCUUCAUCUUCUGAAACGAAGAGAUGACCUUAAUAUUUCAUUGGAGAGCACAUGCUACCAGCGAUGCAUGCGUGUUGUACAGAGAUGAUGAGCAAAUGGGAGGAGUUGGUCUCAGAAAAAGGGGGUUCAUGUGAGUUGGAUGUGUCACCUCAUCUCCAAAAUUUAGCUGCCAAUGUGAUUGCUCGAACAGCAUUUGGGAGUAGCUAUGAAGAAGGCAGAAGGAUAUUUGAACUCCAAAUGCAACUAGCCAGUCUUGUGUUUCGACUUUCACAGUCAAUGAGCUUUCCAGGACGGAGGUUUCUACCAACAAAGAUAAACAAGAGAAUCAAAGCAAUCAACAAUGAAGUGCAAAUUCUUGUGAGGGGAGUCAUCGAUGAAAGGGAGAAAGCCAUGAAGUUGGGAGGAGCUGGUGAUGAGGACUUGUUGAGUGUACUAUUGAAAGCCAACUUGAGAGAAAUCAACGAGCAUGCAAACAAGAAUGCAGGAAUGAGUAUUGAUGAUGUGAUUAAGGAGUGCAAGCUAAUGUACUUUGUGGGCCAAGAGACUACUGCACAGUUGCUUGUUUGGGCAAUGAUUAUGUUAAGUUUACAUCCAAACUGGCAAACGCGUGCAAGAGAAGAGGUUCAACAAGUGUUUGGGAACAAUAAACCAGAGUACAAUGGGAUAAACCACCUUAAGAUAGUAACAAUGAUAUUGAACGAGAUUCUUAGGUUAUAUCCACCAGCAAUAAUGAUGUACCGUGUUAAUCAUAAAGAGACAAUGUUGGGAGACAUGGUGAUACCUUGUGGAACAAACAUCAUGGUACCUAUACUCUUCGUCCAUCAUGAUCGUGACCUUUGGGGAGAAGAUUCAGAAGAGUUCAACCCAGAGAGAUUUUCUGAAGGAGUUGCUAAGGCAACGAACAAACAAGCAUCCUUUCUGCCAUUCGGUUGGGGUCCUCGAAUUUGCAUUGGGAACAAUUUUGCGAUGUUGGAAGCAAAAAUGGCUUUAGUAAUGAUUCUUCAACACUUCUCAUUUGAGCUUUCUCCAUCCUAUAUUCACACACCUUCCUUCCGUGUUACCCUUCAACCUCAAAAUGGCGCACACAUUAUUUUACAUAAAAUAUAGUGUUGAAAUCUUGGCUAGCUAAUAAUAUUUACCAUAAGCUGAGAAGUUAUAUAAUAUGUUGGGCAUGUUUGGUGUAAUUUAUUUUAAGUUAAAAGCUAAUAAUCAAAAAAUCAAAAUAAAAAACAUAUCCUUUUUAGCUUUUAAAUAAUUAGCUUUUUGAGGAAGAUGCCUAAAACAGCCCAAUUGUGAUAGUAACUAGCUCCAUUGUGAGAUGCAUGUGCUUGUGUUGUAAUUUUCUACUUCUGUUGUGAUUUUUUUUUUUUUAUUUGUUUCAGUACUCCAUGGGAAUAUCAAUUUACUAUUCUGUUAAAAUA
Camellia sinensis is the source of this 1510-nucleotide non-coding RNA. The record is from RefSeq and is a predicted model, not a curated record. Lineage: Eukaryota; Viridiplantae; Streptophyta; Magnoliopsida; Ericales; Theaceae.